AGCUUUGUGCAUUGGCAGUAUCGUAGCCAAUGAGGUUUAUUCGAGGCACGAUUAUUGCUAAUUGAAAACUUUUCCCAACUCCCCGCCGUGACGACUUGCAAUAUAGUUUUUGACAGUCUGUACGGAGA
Small nuclear RNA from Callithrix jacchus (white-tufted-ear marmoset), 128 nucleotides. Its record names the gene U4. It matches the Rfam family "U4 spliceosomal RNA". From Rfam's summary of the family: U4 small nuclear RNA (U4 snRNA) is a component of the major U2-dependent spliceosome. The structure of U4 snRNA from yeast and human has been reported. Lineage: Eukaryota; Metazoa; Chordata; Mammalia; Primates; Cebidae. The record is from Ensembl.